Molecule: non-coding RNA, 29 nt
Filed under: Mus musculus (house mouse)
Lineage: Eukaryota; Metazoa; Chordata; Mammalia; Rodentia; Muridae
Source: RNAcentral
UAGCCAAUUAGUUUUUCUACCACUUAGAA